Molecule: ribosomal RNA, 494 nt
Filed under: uncultured bacterium
Lineage: Bacteria
Description: partial 16S ribosomal RNA
Rfam family: Bacterial small subunit ribosomal RNA
Source: RNAcentral
GACGAACGCUGGCGGCGUGCUUAACACAUGCAAGUCGAACGGUCAAGCGCCUUCCUUUUUGGUCGGUGUGGAUGAGUGGCGAACGGGUGAGUAACACGUUAGUAACCUGCCCCCUUCUUCUGGAUAACCGCAUGAAAGUGUUGCUAAUACGGGAUAUUCUGGGUCUGUCGCUUGAUGGGUCUGGGACAGAUUUUGUUUCGGUGGUGGAUGGGCUCGCGGUCUAUCAGCUUGUUGGUGGGGUGAUGGCCUACCAAGGCGGUGACGAGUAGCCGGCCUGAGAGGGUGGGCGGCCACAGUGGGGCUGCGAGACGCACCAGACUCCGACGGGAGGCAGCAGGGGAGAAUAUUGCACAAUGGGCGGAAGGCUGAUGCAGCGACGCGGGGUGAGGGGUGGAGGCCUGCGGGUUGUGAACCUCUUUCGCGAGUGAAGCAAGGUUGCCUUGUUUGUGGGUGGGUUGACGGUAGCUGGACAAGAAGCGCCGGCUAACUACGUG